UGGGGAAUAUUGGACAAUGGGCGAAAGCCUGAUCCAGCCAUGCCGCGUGUGUGAAGAAGGUCUUCGGAUUGUAAAGCACUUUAAGUUGGGAGGAAGGGCAGUAAGCGAAUACCUUGCUGUUUUGACGUUACCGACAGAAUAAGCACCGGCUAACUCUGUGCCAGCAGCCGCGGUAAUACAGAGGGUGCAAGCGUUAAUCGGAAUUACUGGGCGUAAAGCGCGCGUAGGUGGUUCGUUAAGUUGAAUGUGAAAGCCCCGGGCUCAACCUGGGGACUGCAUCCAAAACUGGCGAGCUAGAGUAGGGCAGAGGGUGGUGGAAUUUCCUGUGUAGCGGUGAAAUGCGUAGAUAUAGGAAGGAACACCAGUGGCGAAGGCGACCACCUGGGCUCAUACUGACACUGAGGUGCGAAAGAGUGGGGAGCAAACAGG
This 429-nucleotide ribosomal RNA is filed under the name Pseudomonadota bacterium. RNAcentral's name for it is "Proteobacteria bacterium partial 16S ribosomal RNA". It matches the Rfam family "Bacterial small subunit ribosomal RNA", at positions 355 to 776 of the family's 1533-position model. Lineage: Bacteria; Pseudomonadati; Pseudomonadota. The record is from RNAcentral.